UAGUACUAUUUACAUGUGGCAAUGUCAAUACUUUAAAAGGUAUGAUAUUUUUUAUCAACAUGGCAGCCCCACCAUAUCCGUCAGGUCUGUCAUCUCGUACACAAUAAUAACCUGGAAUACGAAACGCAAAAUAUGGUCGUAACUCGUAACCAAGUUUCAGAAAGGGCAAUAACUAUUGGGUUAUAUUUAUUUAUUAAGUAAAUCAAAUCAGUUUUUUUAAGUCAACAUAUGCACAGCCGUUUUUAGAUGAUGGAAUUUGAUAUUCUCUGAUAAUACUGUUAUGAAAAUUUUUGUCAUACCCCUUACCAGUUGGAAUUUGUGGAGUACGCUUUGAAUAAAAAGUUUUUUUAUAAGAUCGAA
Long non-coding RNA from Aricia agestis (brown argus), 360 nucleotides. RefSeq lists it as uncharacterized. The transcript is spliced from 2 exons. NCBI's taxonomy places the organism in Eukaryota, Metazoa, Arthropoda, Insecta, Lepidoptera, Lycaenidae. The record is from RefSeq and is a predicted model, not a curated record.